GGGGAUGUCGUAUAACCUGGCUAUUAUCUCCGGCUCCAGCCCGGAAGAUCUGGGUUCGAAUCCCAGCGUCCCCA
Molecule: transfer RNA, 74 nt
Filed under: Candidatus Woesearchaeota archaeon
Lineage: Archaea; Nanobdellati; Candidatus Woesearchaeota
Description: tRNA-Trp
Rfam family: tRNA
About the family: Transfer RNA (tRNA) molecules are approximately 80 nucleotides in length.
Source: RNAcentral